RNAcentral lists this transfer RNA (85 nucleotides) under Kiritimatiellia bacterium. RNAcentral describes it as "Kiritimatiellae bacterium tRNA-Leu". It matches the Rfam family "tRNA". Rfam says of the family: Transfer RNA (tRNA) molecules are approximately 80 nucleotides in length. RNAcentral also lists the same sequence under 1 other name. The record is from RNAcentral. Lineage: Bacteria; Pseudomonadati; Kiritimatiellota; Kiritimatiellia.
GCACCCGUGGUGGAACUGGCAGACACGCAAGGUUCAGGUCCUUGUGCUCGUUAAGGGCGUGGGGGUUCGAAUCCCUCCGGGUGCA